GUAGCGGCGAGCGAAGCGGGAAGAGCUCAAAUUUGUAAUCUGGCGCUUUCGGCGUCCGAGUUGUAAUCUCUAGAAGUGUUUUCCGCGUUGGACCGCACACAAGUCUGUUGGAAUACAGCGGCACAGUGGUGAGACCCCCGUUCACGGUGCGGAUGCCCAAUGCUUUGUGAUACACUUUCGAAGAGUCGAGUUGUUUGGGAAUGCAGCUCAAAUUGGGUGGUAAAUUCCAUCUAAAGCUAAAUAUUGGCGAGAGACCGAUAGCGAACAAGUACCGUGAGGGAAAGAUGAAAAGCACUUUGGAAAGAGAGUUAACAGUACGUGAAAUUGUUGGAAGGGAAACGCUUGAAGUCAGACUUGCUAUUCGGGCAACCGAGUUGCAGGCCAGCAUCAGUUUUUCGGGGCGGAAAAUCACGGUUAGAAGGUAGCAGUUUCGGCUGUGUUAUAGCUUUCCGUUGGAUACGUCCUGGGGGACUGAGGAACGCAGCGUGCUUUUUGCAGGAGCUUCGGCUUCAUCACGCUUAGGAUGCUGGUGUAAUGGCUUUAAACGACCCGUCUUGAACACGGACCAA
This 569-nucleotide ribosomal RNA is filed under the name Rhodosporidiobolus poonsookiae. RNAcentral describes it as "partial large subunit ribosomal RNA". It matches the Rfam family "Eukaryotic large subunit ribosomal RNA", at positions 83 to 669 of the family's 3401-position model. The record is from RNAcentral. Lineage: Eukaryota; Fungi; Basidiomycota; Microbotryomycetes; Sporidiobolales; Sporidiobolaceae.